AGCUUAGUUUAGGGUUUAAAACCCAAAUGCUGGCUGAAUGGAAAAAGUUUAGUUUAGGGUUUAAAACCCUAAUGCUGACUAAAAGGAAAAUUCAGUUUAGGGUUUAAAACCCUAAUGCUGACUGAAAGAAAAAGUUCAGUUUAGGGUUUAAAACCCUAAUGCUGACAGGAAGGAAAAGUUCAGUUUAGGGUUUAAAACCCUAAUGCUGAUUAAAAGGAAAAUUCAGUUUAGGGUUUAAAACCCUAAUGCUGAUUGCAUGGAAAAGCUCAGCUUAGGGUCUAAAACUCUAAUGCUGACUAAAGGAAAAAUUCAGCUUAGGGUCUAAAACUCUAAUGCUGGCUGAAUGGAAAAUUCAGUUUAGGGUUUAAAACCCUAAUGCUGAUUACAUGGAAAAGCUCAGUUUAGGGUUUUAAAACCCUAAUGCUGGCUGAAAGGAAAAGUUCA
This 444-nucleotide long non-coding RNA is filed under the name Nicotiana tabacum (common tobacco). Its description in RNAcentral is "long non-coding RNA (NTAB_LNC011763)". The record is from RNAcentral. Lineage: Eukaryota; Viridiplantae; Streptophyta; Magnoliopsida; Solanales; Solanaceae.